Molecule: long non-coding RNA, 1223 nt
Filed under: Homo sapiens (human)
Lineage: Eukaryota; Metazoa; Chordata; Mammalia; Primates; Hominidae
Description: HSALNT0334132
Source: RNAcentral
GGUUUGCACUGCUUCCUGGAAACUACCUCCCUGCUAAUAAGCCUUCCCAGUAAUAAGCCUCCCUGACAAUGCGCCUCCUGACACAUGCUUCCUCAAGUCUGUGCCUCCAAACCCCAUGCCUUGACCAGAGUAGGUGUGCUCAACCUGGUUUAAGGAUUCUCCACUGCCCCUGGUUUGGGAGGAGCUGCUCACGUAAAUAAAGAGGGGAUUUUGCCACCACAAGCAUAAAUACUCACUCUCAGAACAACGAGGCACCACCAGGGAACAAAAGAUGGAGUUUCACUCUUGUUGCCCAGGCUGGAGUGCAAUGGUGUGAUCUUGGCUCACUGCAACCUCCACUUCCCAGGUUCAAGCAAUUCUCCUGCCUCAGCUUCCUGAGCAGCUGGGACUACAGGUGCCACCAGGCCCAUCUAAUUUUUGUAUUUUUAGUAGAGACGGGGUUUCACCAUGUUGGCCAGGCUGGUCUUAAACUCCUGACUUCAGAUGAUCCACCAGCCUCGGCCUCCCAAAUUGCUGGGACUACAGGCAUGAGCCACUGAGCCUGGCCAAAAUUGUUUUUCUUAAAAACGUUAUUUGUUAAACUGUACUUAUGUCUUUAAUGUAGUUUUCUGUGAAUAUAUUUUAUAUAAAAAUAAAGAAAACAAUAUGGCAGCAAUGAAUCAUUUAUUUAAAAGUCUCUGACAGAAUGAAUGAGUAAAUGUGGAAUAUACUAUAAAAAGUGAAAGUGUAAAAAUGUUAUAAUUACCAUCAUAAGUAAUAAUGAGUCACCUAAAAACCCACCCACAGCAAUCUGUUACGAGUGAAAGAAUUACUUUAACACAGCAGGAGGAUUUUAAGGUAGUUACAAAUGACGGGUUAGCAAUGUAGGGAGAGACAGUGGCUGAAAUGGUCAGUCUGCCUCUACUGUUUCUGUGUUCUCUGCUUCCCAACCACACCAGCCAGGCUCAUUCCACAGUAACAACCUCAUCUCAUUGAGAAAAUGAAUGUGACAGGACAGGGGCUUUCCACCACCAUGUCUUCCAGUGGACUCUCAUGUAUACCAGAAGUCCAAGCUUUCCCUCUGGUAACAACUAAACAUCAUCCACCAUCUUAUCAAAGCCCACCCCCUUCACCUGGGCUGUGGCUCCCAAACUCCUCUCCUGGCCUUCUUCCCUGAACCCUUAUCUCCUGCCUGAACAAUUUCCCCCACUGGAUUAUUUCCAGCAGCACAAAGUCAUAUUUUA